This 1075-nucleotide long non-coding RNA is filed under the name Vulpes vulpes (red fox). Its description in RNAcentral is "lncRNA (ENSVVUG00000019800.1)". Lineage: Eukaryota; Metazoa; Chordata; Mammalia; Carnivora; Canidae. The record is from RNAcentral.
UUAUUUGAAUGUCCCCUGUGUGUCAUGGAGCUAACAGCUAACACAUAACCCAUCACUCCGCCCAUUCCAAGUGUUUUUUUGAUGUGCUUUAUGCAUAUUAACUCAUUUAAUGUUCAUAAUGACCCUUCUGAGCACAUGAAAACCUCAGGGUGGAGAAGUUAUGCAAUUGCCUGAGGUCACACCGCUUGUCAACACCAGGGCAUGACAGAUUUCAAAUCCAUAUUAUAGUCUGACUCCUAAAUUGAUACUUUCUCUAUUGUGACACACUAUUAUCCAACCCUAUACUACGUUACUCCGUACCUUAUUCCAUGACUUUCAGCUAUCCUGGAGUGUGUACCCAGACAGGGAGCCUAGCUGUGUGUUCUAGAGCUCACUAAGUGGUUCUAGUACCAUUACUAUUAUGACACUACCUUUGGUCUAACUUUGGCAAAGUGGUCUAAGAGGGGAGCCCUGCUCUUGUGGAGGUCUCCCUCUCCGUGAUUCAGGGCCGGAAGUCCAUGUCCCGCCCCCAAGAUGUAGCUUGUGCUGCUUCAUCCUUCACUACUUCCUAUUGUUCCUCCCAGAGAAGUUCUGGAACACAGUACCAACAGUGGCAGCAUCACUGAGAACUUGGUAGGAAUGCAAAACCUUGGUCCCUACCCCACACCGAUUAAAUCCAGGGAUGGGGCUCAAGGGGUGGCACUGUGUGUGUUACCAACCCUCUAGGUGAUUCUAAUGCAAUGCUACACUUGGAGAACCAAGAGAGGGACCAGAGGCGCCUGCUGGAGUGGCAGUCCAGUCACAUCUCUUUCCAGGAGCCAGAUGGGCAGCCAAAGAGAGAAGCCUCCAGCUAUGUAGCAGACAAGUAGAGAAGGAAAGGUCCAUGAGCCUCCUUAUCACCCUGCAGCUGGCACAACAUCUGGACAACAGAACAAGGCAACAGCACAGAUACCUGCACCUCCCCAACCCCAACAUGCAUGUUUGUCCAUUUAGUGCUAAUUAUAGUAUUGGUUUGUAAUCCCUGCUAUAAAAAAAACUAUAGUCCCUCCCUCUACUUACUUGUUCUAAAUGACCUCUUUCAAAAGAUUCACUGCUU